This 427-nucleotide ribosomal RNA is filed under the name uncultured bacterium. RNAcentral's name for it is "partial 16S ribosomal RNA". It matches the Rfam family "Bacterial small subunit ribosomal RNA", at positions 355 to 774 of the family's 1533-position model. The record is from RNAcentral.
UGGGGAAUUUUGGACAAUGGGGGAAACCCUGAUCCAGCCAUCCCGCGUGUGCGAUGAAGGCCUUCGGGUUGUAAAGCACUUUUGGCAGGAAAGAAACGUCAUGGGUUAAUACCCCGUGAAACUGACGGUACCUGCAGAAUAAGCACCGGCUAACUACGUGCCAGCAGCCGCGGUAAUACGUAGGGUGCAAGCGUUAAUCGGAAUUACUGGGCGUAAAGCGUGCGCAGGCGGUUCGGAAAGAAAGAUGUGAAAUCCCAGAGCUUAACUUUGGAACUGCAUUUUAAACUACCGGGCUAGAGUGUGUCAGAGGGAGGUGGAAUUCCGCGUGUAGCAGUGAAAUGCGUAGAUAUGCGGAGGAACACCGAUGGCGAAGGCAGCCUCCUGGGAUAACACUGACGCUCAUGCACGAAAGCGUGGGGAGCAAACA